Molecule: ribosomal RNA, 431 nt
Filed under: uncultured bacterium
Lineage: Bacteria
Description: partial 16S ribosomal RNA
Rfam family: Bacterial small subunit ribosomal RNA
Source: RNAcentral
AACGAACGCUGGCGGCAGGCUUAACACAUGCAAGUCGAACGCCCCGCAAGGGGAGUGGCAGACGGGUGAGUAACGCGUGGGAAUCUACCCAUCCCUACGGAAUAACGCAUGGAAACGUGUACUAAUACCGUAUACGCCCUACGGGGGAAAGAUUUAUCGGGGAUGGAUGAGCCCGCGUUGGAUUAGCUAGUUGGUGGGGUAAAGGCCUACCAAGGCGACGAUCCAUAGCUGGUCUGAGAGGAUGAUCAGCCACAUUGGGACUGAGACACGGCCCAAACUCCUACGGGAGGCAGCAGUGGGGAAUAUUGGACAAUGGGCGCAAGCCUGAUCCAGCCAUGCCGCGUGAGUGAUGAAGGCCUUAGGGUUGUAAAGCUCUUUCACCGGAGAAGAUAAUGACGGUAUCCGGAGAAGAAGCCCCGGCUAACUUCGUG